AAACCAACAGGGAUUUCCCUAGUAACGGCGAGUGAAGCGGCAAGAGCUCAAAUUUGAAAUCUGGCCCUCUCAGGGUCCGAGUUGUAAUUUGUAGAGGGCGCUUUGGCGUUGGCCCCGGCCUAAGUUCCUUGGAACAGGACGUCACAGAGGGUGAGAACCCCGUACGUGGCCGCCGGCCUCCGCCGUGUAAAGCCCCUUCGACGAGUCGAGUUGUUUGGGAAUGCAGCUCUAAAUGGGAGGUAAAUUUCUUCUAAAGCUAAAUACUGGCCAGAGACCGAUAGCGCACAAGUAGAGUGAUCGAAAGAUGAAAAGCACUUUGGAAAGAGAGUCAAAAAGCACGUGAAAUUGUUGAAAGGGAAGCGCUUGCAGCCAGACUUGCCUGUAGUUGCUCAUCCGAGCUCCCGCUCGGUGCACUCUUCUGCGGGCAGGCCAGCAUCAGUCCGGGCGGUCGGAUAAAGGCCUCGGGAAUGUAGCUCCCCUCGGGGAGUGUUAUAGCCCGGGGCGCCAUGCGACCAGCCUGGACUGAGGUCCGCGCAUCUGCUAGGAUGCUGGCGUAAUGGCUGUAAGCGGC
RNAcentral lists this ribosomal RNA (571 nucleotides) under Lophiostoma sp. OTU1 TS-2013. Its description in RNAcentral is "eukaryotic LSU rRNA". It matches the Rfam family "Eukaryotic large subunit ribosomal RNA", at positions 62 to 648 of the family's 3401-position model. Lineage: Eukaryota; Fungi; Ascomycota; Dothideomycetes; Pleosporales; Lophiostomataceae. The record is from RNAcentral.